RNAcentral lists this unclassified non-coding RNA (1283 nucleotides) under Hevea brasiliensis (rubber tree). The record is from RNAcentral. Lineage: Eukaryota; Viridiplantae; Streptophyta; Magnoliopsida; Malpighiales; Euphorbiaceae.
GGAAAACAAUAUUCAUAUAAAAUAGGAUGGAUUACAAAACAAAUACCAAAACCAAACCACAUUCUGGAGCCAGUGAUUCUUUUAUUUUGAAGAAAACAUGAAGCAACUAGUCGCGAGAUAAGUUAAUUAAAAUUUCCGAAUUUUUCACAUAGAAGCCACUGAAGUGGGAUUAACCCUGCUACAAACAUCACGAAUUUCCAAUUGAGCGCCGGCGGAGGGGGGCAAGUCUCCCAUCUUGAUCAUGGCAGCAGCAAAAUCUCCAAGGAAAACGUUCACAUCGUUGCUAUAAUCCGUUACAAAACCAGCAGUUGUAGCAUCCCCGGUCAAAACUUGAUCUGAAAACAUUAUGCCUUGGUUGCUGUUUAAGUUAUCGUAGUAAACUUUGUCGAACAUAGUAGGAGUAGUAUCCAAUUGUUGCAAAUCAGAAUCAGUUAGCGUGGCGGAGCAGUUGCAUUGGAGUUGUGCGGCAGGAUUAACGUUACCGCUGGUGCAAACUGUGGAACACCUGGCGAAACCUACCGUGUGUGCACCAGCUAGUGCAACCAUUUCACGGAGGGUGAAAUUUUUGUCGCUGAAUUUCUGUAUUUGGACUGUUAGGUUGUCGAAUGGAGCUGGAAGUUGAUUUAUAGCACCACUAAAGUUGGCAGUUCUAGCAUCGCUUCUCCCUAAUGCAACGCUAUAAGUUUGUCCUCCUAAUUUAGCAACAGAAUCACGAGCAGCAAUAGCUAAUAUGUCGGCACAAGAUACAGAUACGUUGGGGCAUGUGUUUAUGACACUUUGUUUAGCUUGUGCUAUUACUUCAUAACCUCUGGCUGAGUUGGCGUUGGGUGGUGAGUUUUGUUCCCCUGUAAAUGUUCCAUUAAUAUCAUCUAGCAGAAUACCUCCAUCACAACCAUCAACGAAGCAGUCAUGAAAGUGGAGACGAAUGAGAGAAGCUCCCAUGCGAGUUUCUGCAUCAAUAGCACUGUCCACAACUGCUCGUACAGCUGAGAAAACGCAUGCCUCCGGAGUUAGUUGCUGUCUCAAGUACUUGUCUGAAUUUCUCUUCUUAUUAUUAUUUAAGGUUAAAAUACUGGCUACGCCUGAUUCCAACGAAUCGAAAUCUGGAGAAACAUUUUUGAGGAGUGAACCGUUUUUCAUGAUGAUGGCUUCAUAAGUAUUUCUAUAAAUAGCAACACCUGCAAGUGCAAGUGCCACAAAACUCAAUGCAAGACUCAAAUGACUCAAACGAAAACCCAUCACUUAAUUUAAAUGUCUAUCGAGGAAACAAAUUAAAGGCUUUC